UCACACCUUACGGUGGCAGUAUCCCCAGAGUGCCCAGCUUCACCUGAUGGCAACUAAGGAAAGGGGUUGCGCUCGUUAUGGCACUUAAGCCGACACCUCACGGCACGAGCUGACGACAACCAUGCAGCACCUUCACAGAGGCCCCGAAGGGCAUCACCAUCUCUGGAUCUUUCCUCUGCAAUUCAAGCCCGGGUAAGGUUCCUCGCGUAUCAUCGAAUUAAACCACAUGUUCCUCCGCUUGUGCGGGCCCCCGUCAAUUCCUUUGAGUUUCACCGUUGCCGGCGUACUCCCCAGGUGGGAUGCUUAAUGCUUUCGCUUGGCCGCUGGCCCAGGUGGGUCAACAGCGGGCAUCCAUCGUUUACCGUGCGGACUAC
RNAcentral lists this unclassified non-coding RNA (374 nucleotides) under uncultured Prevotellaceae bacterium. Its description in RNAcentral is "contains 16S-23S intergenic spacer region". Lineage: Bacteria; Pseudomonadati; Bacteroidota; Bacteroidia; Bacteroidales; Prevotellaceae. The record is from RNAcentral.